UUUAUGUGAAAUGGUCAUGUCUGUUUGACUUGAGAGCAGUUCGGUCCUUCAGAUAAUUUGUGUGUCAUGAACGUAGGAGUAGCUGAGGAUUCUGCUCCAGAUGUAUUCAGUCAGCAGAGCUGUGAGGGACCAGGAGUCCUGCCAGGGGCCGUGACGGCCCUCUGGGUCACGCCUCACAGGGUUCUUCACAGUCAGCUUCGGGAAAUCAAGCUCAGCAGCGAGCUGAGUGCCAUUCAGAAACACACAGAGCACGGGCCUAGCAGACCCUGGGUCCACCAGGCGCUCCACCGUUGGGAACAGGAAGGGUGAAGACCCAAAGUCUACCGAAAGGCUCGUGAAGCAGUUCCUCAGCUCAAGCGGUGCCGAGACGCCUGCAAUCAGGGUUAAGCUGGAAGUCCUUCACUCACCCACAAGGCCCUCAGAUGAGAGGGCGCCGGAGCCACAGCUGUGCUCCUGCCGGGCAGAGUGCAAAUCCUUCUGAGUGCGCCUCACACGCUCCGUGUUCUGACGCAAAGCUGCACUGCGUCUGCGGUGGCUGAACCUGCUCUCCUUCGCGUUGAACCUUUCCUCAGCCUUGUUCUGCAGGAAGCUCAAUGUUGACUGUACAAUAAGCAUCCGCGCAGUGCCCUCCUCGGGCUGAAGCCUCCACCGUCAACUGGUGGCUCGAACACUGCUGUCCGCCAGAUUGCUCUGGAAGCCUUGGAGGACACAAUUCGACAGCAGUUUACCCUGUAAAAUUUUACACUGAAAAUUCGGUUUUGCUGGAUUUUACGUUUGUUGACAUUUAUUUUUCUUUUAGUAUGCAGAUUAAAUACGUCCCUCUUGAUAACAAAACAUUU
Molecule: long non-coding RNA, 839 nt
Organism: Fukomys damarensis (Damara mole-rat)
Lineage: Eukaryota; Metazoa; Chordata; Mammalia; Rodentia; Bathyergidae
Exons: 3
Source: RefSeq, a predicted model, not a curated record